GACGUAGGGGGCAAGCGUUGUCCGGAAUUAUUGGGCGUAAAGAGCUCGUAGGCGGUCUGUCGCGUCGGCUGUGAAAACCCGGAGCUCAACUCCGGGCCUGCAGUCGAUACGGGCAGACUGGAGUUCGGCAGGGGAGACUGGAAUUCCUGGUGUAGCGGUGAAAUGCGCAGAUAUCAGGAGGAACACCGGUGGCGAAGGCGGGUCUCUGGGCCGAUACUGACGCUGAGGAGCGAAAGCGUGGGGAGCGAACAGG
RNAcentral lists this ribosomal RNA (253 nucleotides) under uncultured bacterium. RNAcentral describes it as "partial 16S ribosomal RNA". It matches the Rfam family "Bacterial small subunit ribosomal RNA", at positions 524 to 776 of the family's 1533-position model. The record is from RNAcentral.